AAAAAGGGUCUGACGACUGCCCAAACCACACCGUGAACCUUUUUCUUACUGAUGCUCUGGCAGGCCGCCCGCUGGGGGGGCUCUGGCCGCGAUUUCGCGGUGGUCUGCCGGUGGCUCGCAAACAAAACUCUCUAGAACGUCUCUCUGAGAAAAUCAAACUCCCCUUAGCGGGAGAAAAAAAGUCA
Molecule: unclassified non-coding RNA, 185 nt
Filed under: uncultured Ascomycota
Lineage: Eukaryota; Fungi; Ascomycota
Description: sequence contains ITS1
Source: RNAcentral